AGAGAGUAGUUUAAUUUAGAAUUUCAGCUUUGGGAGUUGAUGGUGGGAGUUAAAGCCUCUUUUCUCUGA
RNAcentral lists this transfer RNA (69 nucleotides) under Guentherus altivela (highfin tadpole fish). RNAcentral describes it as "tRNA-Pro". It matches the Rfam family "tRNA". Rfam says of the family: Transfer RNA (tRNA) molecules are approximately 80 nucleotides in length. Their secondary structure includes four short double-helical elements and three loops (D, anti-codon, and T loops). The record is from RNAcentral. Lineage: Eukaryota; Metazoa; Chordata; Actinopteri; Ateleopodiformes; Ateleopodidae.